Sorghum bicolor (sorghum) is the source of this 2620-nucleotide long non-coding RNA. RefSeq lists it as uncharacterized. Lineage: Eukaryota; Viridiplantae; Streptophyta; Magnoliopsida; Poales; Poaceae. The record is from RefSeq and is a predicted model, not a curated record. The transcript is spliced from 5 exons.
CACCCCUCACCAGCCGCACCCACCGCACUCCUUUCUUGGAGUCAUGAAGUCACGAGUGCUUGGCGGUCGGAAUCCGGUGGCCUUGGCGGCACCAUGGAGGACCCUCCAUGGUGGACCUGUGGAGGUAGACUAUCAGGAUCCGGUGGGCCUUGACGAAGCAUCGAGGAGCAUCCAUGGUGGACCUUUGUGGAUCUAUGGAGGAAGGAGAUCCCUUCGUUCAGGUUCUCUAGGAUGGCGCAGGCACUAGCAUCUCCAGACGGUGGCGCAGGCCCAGGCGCUAGCACGAACAGAGGAGGCUCCGACUAGCAGAGGCACAGGUUUGAGCAGUAGUAGCUCCGACCAGUGGAGCAGGAAUGGGCGCAGGGUAGCUCUGUUCACAUCAUGAUUGGUUGAAGCAUGUGAUUUGGUGCCGGCGGCCACACGUUUGUUAUGUGCUCACAGACAUUCUUCAGGGCGCCAAUUGGAUUCAAUCAUCUGCGUGCAAAGAUGGAAGGUUUGUGAUGAAUGUCUGUGAGCAUAUAACAAACCACGCAAAUAUCUGCAAGGAUUUGUUGCUCGACAGCUUUACACUGCAUUAUUAGUUCUCUAGAAACUUUUUGGAGUAUCAGAUCCGUGAGAUUUUAUAGUUGUAGGAUGUAUGUGCUUGUUGCUAUGAUUAAAGAAUCGUCUGAGAGAAAAUUAGUAAAUAAUUUAUGCUUAUUGCAAUAUUUUUUUGUCUCUUGCGCGUGAAUGUCAAUAAUCUAUUCUAAGUGUUCUGCAUUUUUAAUCCACUAUUUCUGUAACAAGCGACAACCUGAUGAAUUUGACAUGUCCCUUUUUUUUUGCUAAGUGAGGCUUUGUUACUAGGGAUGUGGGCAACAGUAUGUUACCAACUGGUGAUCUGGUGAGGUGAGGUCCUGUCCUGAUGGCUGAUCUGUCGUCCCCAACUAUAGUGUUCUGAUCUGUUGAGGUCCUGCAACUGCAAGGUAUGCAACAAAAGCUUUAGUUUACUCGAGAGUAACACACUCUGCAACAACAGCUUUAGUAUUUGGUCUUUGGAAGUUAUAAUCAAGAGAAACAUGAGCCUAGUCUUUAGAGGUUAUACCUGUUGUGCAGUUUUUUUACUUUAGUGUACACCAUUACUGAGUUGCAACGGGUUGUACCUUGGGUUUGAACUUGUAUUCUCUUGUAAAGCAUUAUUUAUGAAUUAUGAAUGAGAAUUAUGUAUGGUUACUGUAAUUAUUUAAAUGGUUACAUGGUUUAUAAUAUGUUAUGAUUUUUAAAUGGGCUAGCCCAAAAUAUGGGCUUGAAUUGUAAUGUUGGGUUGUGAUGAAAAAAAUAAACAUCAAUUUGUAGAUGGGCCAAAAAACAUUUGGGCCAAUUGGGCUAGAUGUAAAUAAAAAUAAAAAAGACCCAAAUGUGAAUUGCCACGUCAUCUGCCAUGUCACCUGUCAUGUCAUAUGUGCCAUGUCAUUAUACACAUGGCGUUAUUUUGUUUAAUUUGUUAUGACGAGUUUAGUCUCGUCAUUACAUCGAUGACAAGAGAACUAUCGUCACUAUAUCGAUGACGAAGUCUUGUGGUGGUCAUAGAAGCUGCUUAGGGACCCACCUUCUGUGACGACAACCACUUCAUCAUUGUAGGCAGGUAGUGACAAGAAACAGGCUGCUAUCGUCAUAAUCUAAUUGUCACAGAAGCCCAGGAUUCUUGGGGGUGAGGUGCUUUUGGAUUUGUACUACGAGAAAAGCUGCUUUUGGGCAAAAGCACUUGUGGCUUUUGGGCCCUUUGGUUAGCUUUUGGCUUUUACAAAAGCAAAAGCAGAUUCAAAAGCCCAACCAAAGGGACCCUAAAGGUGGACCUUUAGUCCCGGUCCACGGAACCGGGACUAAAGGUGGGACAUUUAGUCCCGAAACCUUAGCCCCGGUUCUGUAGCCGGUACUAAAGACGCUUACGGCCCGGGGGCUAAAGCCCUUCCCUGUACUAGUGUCCAAUCGAAGAGGAUAGCAUCUCAGAGCAGGUCCCAACUGGUACAAGAAAAUGGAUAACAUGAGAGAGAUGGUGAUGCCCUAUUCAUCCAGUCACUCAAAAUACUUAAUUCGUUUUGAUAGAUAUGCAUAUCUCAUGUGUUUGAUUUGACAUUUUGAAUUUUCCAAUGCUUUACAACAAAAAAUAAAUUGUACCUAAUCGUUCUAUUUUUUCAUCCUAUUUACCAGAUCCGUCCAUCCCACCUUGCUUCUUAAAGGUUUGUCAGCUGCUGGAAUUUUUGAAGCUCGGCUCAACCUGAAGUGGGUAACAUGUAUGGUGAAAUCCUAGGUCCUGAUGUGAGAACCAACAGUGCACUCAUACAGGGGAUGACAUCUACAUUAUCAGUAGUUUCAGAGUUUGAAAUGCAAAAUCGGGUUAUAGACCCGUUGACUCCCGCUAUAUGGUUGAAUUUAUAGGUUGCACAAAAUGGUCUUUGCUGUCUCGGUGUGGGACUAUUCAUGUAAAAUAUAUAAGUACUAUUUGGACACCCUCUAUGUCUGAUAUAACAUAUAGGGUGUGAACAUCUUGCAGGUGUUAGAAAUUCAGCUUGAGAUUCGGCACGCAUGCAUGUUGUCGUUUGUUCAGCCUAACUGUGGUCUGGGUGGUGGAAACAAAAAC